Podarcis lilfordi (Lilford's wall lizard) is the source of this 66-nucleotide non-coding RNA. NCBI's taxonomy places the organism in Eukaryota, Metazoa, Chordata, Lepidosauria, Squamata, Lacertidae. The record is from the annotation of a GenBank genome assembly.
GGGGUCAGAGCUCAGUGGUAAAGCUUUGCAUACAGAAAGCCCUGGGUUCAAUCCCUGGUGUCUUCA